Molecule: long non-coding RNA, 1035 nt
Organism: Aegilops tauschii subsp. strangulata
Lineage: Eukaryota; Viridiplantae; Streptophyta; Magnoliopsida; Poales; Poaceae
Source: RefSeq, a predicted model, not a curated record
UUCUCAUCUGAAAGACCCGUACUUGGGCAGGAUAUUAAAAAGAAGUUGCAACAAUUUGACUCUUUUUGUUUCGAACACGAGAAGAGAGACAUGAACUGGGAGGCUCAUGAACUAGCUAGGGCCUCUGCUUCUUUAGAUUAUGGUCGCCAUGUGUGGCUGAUCAACCCUCCUGAUUUCCUAUGUAUUGAACGACUUGUUGUGCUUGAUUAAAAGGGAGUGUUUGAUCCUCAAAAAGAAAAACUAUAGAGUAGAGUACACGACCUCGCAUCCUCACAUCCCGAUUCACAGAAACCACCAGCAGCCAAUCUCUCGUUCUCCCACUACUAACCCUAGCCGCCGCCUGUUGCUUGCCUCGAUGCGCGCCGCGCGCCCCAGAACGAGGACCGGCGCCUGAGCGGUGGCCCUGGCCGGUGAAGACCGGCGCCCGAGCGGCAGCCCUGGCAGGUGAAGACGGGCGCCGCGAGCGGCGGCCCUGAGCCCCUGACCGUGAAGAUUGUCGCCCUGCGCCGCCGCCAACCCCAACCUCCCGUCGGUCGCUCCACCGCCUAUGACGCGGCCGUGCGCCGCCGGUGCUCCACCUCCCGAGGACGAGUUCAACCACUACAGUUCGUCACCACUCACCACUACCCGUCCUCUUCCACACGGUUCGUCCGCCACCGAUGCUCCACCUCCCGACGACCUGCCCACUUUCAGUUCUCCACAUCGCAGCUGAAGAUGUUUUCUGAACAUGAUGAGGAACUGAAUGAGAAUGAAGAUGCAUUUAUGAGUGUAGAGGCAGAUGCAGAAGCAGCAGCUGCAGAAGCAGGAGACGAAUCCGUCUUAUGUAGUAUUAUUGACGAUGAAGUUGCCGAACCAACAGUUGUCGAAGGUGCCAAAAUAGAAGCUGCUCAAGAUGACAAGCCAAUUGAAGCUGAAUCAUGAAUCUUCUUACUUUAUGUCAUAUGAAUCUUGUUACUUGCUCUCAAAUGUAAACAUGUACCGGUACUUUGUUACUUGCUGUUGCAUAUAAACAUGUAUUGGUACUUUCUGCUCUCA